This 613-nucleotide ribosomal RNA is filed under the name uncultured bacterium. Its description in RNAcentral is "bacterial SSU rRNA". It matches the Rfam family "Bacterial small subunit ribosomal RNA", at positions 60 to 719 of the family's 1533-position model. The record is from RNAcentral.
AGUCGCACGGUCAGCAAUGGCAGUGGCGGACGGGUGAGUAACACGUAGGAAUCUAUCCUGGGGUGGGGGAUAACAGUGGGAAACUACUGCUAAUACCGCAUGAUACCUGAGGGUCAAAGGCGCGAGUCGCCUUGGGAGGAGCCUGCGUCUGAUUAGCUUGUUGGUGGGGUAAAGGCCUACCAAGGCGACGAUCAGUAGCUGGUCUGAGAGGAUGAUCAGCCACAUUGGGACUGAGACACGGCCCAAACUCCUACGGGAGGCAGCAGUGGGGAAUAUUGGACAAUGGGGGCAACCCUGAUCCAGCAAUGCCGCGUGUGUGAAGAAGGUCUUCGGAUUGUAAAGUCCUUUUGGCGGGGACGAUGAUGACGGUACCCGCAGAAUAAGCUCCGGCUAACUUCGUGCCAGCAGCCGCGGUAAUACGAAGGGGGCUAGCGUUGCUCGGAAUGACUGGGCGUAAAGGGCGCGUAGGCGGACGGCACAGUCAGGCGUGAAAUUCCUGGGCUCAACCUGGGGACUGCGUCUGAGACGUGUUGUCUUGAGUAUGGAAGAGGGUUGUGGAAUUUCCAGUGUAGAGGUGAAAUUCGUAGAUAUUGGAAAGAACACCGGUGGCGAA